Non-coding RNA from Dermacentor albipictus, 1884 nucleotides. NCBI's taxonomy places the organism in Eukaryota, Metazoa, Arthropoda, Arachnida, Ixodida, Ixodidae. The record is from RefSeq and is a predicted model, not a curated record.
CUAUUACCGUGCUAGUACUGUGUAUACUGUCAAAAAGAAGAAAAAAAUAUUUCGGAAAGAAAGAAUGCCCAGUGUCGAGAUGUAACGAUUCAAGCUUUAUUUCUUUUUGACCUAGAAUGCAACACCAUUAGUUCCACGUGCUUUAUGCAUGGGUAAUGUUAUGACACAACUCAUUAUUUACCCGUUCAUUACAUGCACCAACCCGCCCAAAUUAUCACUGUACUCGAGCUUAUGGACGCAUCGCAGUGCACUGCUUUGCACUUCAUUGUAGCACAGGGGUUUGCUAUCGCCAGUAGCGAAUGCUUUGGUUGACCUCCCUGCCUUUCUGCCUUUUGAAUUCUCUCUCCCUUUGUAUAAAACGCACUAACUUGUGGGAGAGAAAGCGUUCUCCUCUUUUAGAAUUCAAUUAAUUGUCAAGCAAUUAUAUUGCAGUUCCAGUAACUAGAGCACAAAUGCGAAAACGAAACCGAUUCUGUUCGGUUCUCCGCGCUCAGAGUGCGGCACCAGGGGGCAGCGCGCGCUGCGCGUCCGUUAGGAGUGGCAGACGGAGAUGCACAUGUGUAGUCAGCCGGCAUUUUUCGAGUCGUGUUGUAAAUGUUGUUAAUUCGCCGUAAAUAUCUCUUGAUUUGUACUCAAGGGUGGAGCAAGACCCCAAGGAAGAGAGAUUGACGCAUCGGGAGCGAAGAACAGAAACGAUGGAUGGUUACGCUGCUUGGGUCUCGGCACGUUCGAAUUGGCAAAGUUCCGAAUUUGUUGCUGUGUUGUGUACGCUUGUGCGCUCGUUAUUUGCCGUCAUCGCGCGGAGAUAUUUGCGCUGGAUGUCUUUCACUUCGUGUACAAAACUCUGCUCGCUGCGGCAUCGAAGAAGUUGUCCUGUGUUUGGGUGCACGUAUGCGCUUGGACACGGAUAGCCUGCUUGCUCUCAACGGGUGUUCAACAGUCUACGCGCGCUCGUAACUUGCUCAUGAGGCAAGUUGCUGUUGUGCUGGAGCUGAGAAGAGGUCUGCUGCCUGCAAUGGGUCCAUCUCUCUCAAGUUAUUGCAGUAUUAUAGCUCUCAAGGUUCAAAAAAAGUAUGGUGGAAGCUGUUGCCAAGGUUCCGACCAGAAAAGACAGCCAGUAUAAAAGGGUCCACGCCACUGAUCUCUACUACAGGGGAUGAACAGCACAUCGAGCGCCCUCGACUGAAGCCGGCCUUGUCCCGGAAGUUGGUGCUUGACAACUUUGCGGCAGCACUUUGUUGCACGGCCUGUGGAGACAAGGUUUCUUAGACAUGGCCGUGGCCCUCAAGGAAGAUGCCGAGGCCACAGGCAGUUCCUCCAGUGACCGUGAAAAGGUCCCCUGGGGCACAAGUCUGGUUUGGCACCCCCACCUUUCUCCUGCAGCUUUUCUGUCUACUUAGCUAACCAGCAAGUUUAUCCUUGCAAGUGUUUGGAGUCAAGAACAACUUUCACCAGGAAGAAGUGCAAGACGAGUGAUUGAAGAAAAUAAAGUUGCUUCUGUGAUCUAAGAACUUGAGGACUGAAAUGUUGCACCUUUUUGUAUAUAUGCUAUGCAGUGCAUUCAUAUCACAAAGUGCAAAGUGUUUUAUCUCUGCAGCCAUGUCAGUGUGUUGGCAAGACAAUUUUCUCAAUGGUGACCUGCUGCUUUGACUAUGAGCUGCCUUCAUGACAUUUGCAUUAAAGGAGAUGUACUAUCGUGGACAAAAGUACCCUGGAAGUGCGAGCGUUGACCAAAUUGCAUUUCUGCUCAAGACCGCUGAAAACAGUGGGUCACGUAUGCACAUUCCGAACGCAGAUGGUGGCACGGCUGAUCCCAGCAAAUAGCACACCAAUGAAAUUCGGUCGACUCUCGCACGUCCUGGGCAAUUUUGUGCCCGAUGGCAC